RNAcentral lists this ribosomal RNA (468 nucleotides) under uncultured bacterium. Its description in RNAcentral is "partial 16S ribosomal RNA". It matches the Rfam family "Bacterial small subunit ribosomal RNA", at positions 28 to 507 of the family's 1533-position model. The record is from RNAcentral.
GACGAACGCUGGCGGCGCGCCUAACACAUGCAAGUCGAGCGGAGUCAAGAGGAGCUUGCUUUUCUUGACUUAGUGGCGAACGGGUGAGUAACGCGUGAGUAACCUGCCCUGGAGUGGGGGACAACAGUUGGAAACGACUGCUAAUACCGCAUAAGCCCACGGAUCUGCAUGGAUCUGCGGGAAAAGGAUUUAUUCGCUCUAGGAUGGACUCGCGUCCAAUUAGCUAGUUGGUGAGGUAACGGCCCACCAAGGCGACGAUUGGUAGCCGGACUGAGAGGUUGAACGGCCACAUUGGGACUGAGACACGGCCCAGACUCCUACGGGAGGCAGCAGUGGGGGAUAUUGCACAAUGGGGGAAACCCUGAUGCAGCGACGCCGCGUGGAGGAAGAAGGUUUUCGGAUUGUAAACUCCUGUCGUUAGGGACGAUAAUGACGGUACCUAACAAGAAAGCACCAGCUAACUACGUG